CUGCCUGAGAGCACAGCACGUUUUUUUUGGCAGGAUGUGGCAGAGGGCUCUCCUCCGUCCGCUAGUGACGCGUUGGCCUUCCAGUGGGCAGAAGGACGGGAGCCCCCCCGUCGUCUCGUCUCAGACUAUCUACCCGGCCUCCCACUCCGCCAAAAGCUCACGCCUGGACCUCGUGACUUCUCUGGAGUUUAUGGUGAGGAAAGCGAUACGGAGGAUUCGGCGGAACACUGGAACGACGACGAGCAACGUGGCCGUGGAUUGAGUGAUAAUGUACGGGAUAAGGAGGAUGACGAGAAGAAGAAGAUAUGGAUUUAGAUAAGAGAGAGAGAGAGAGAGAGAGAGAGAGAGAGAGAGAGAGAGAGAGAGAGUAUGGUGAUGAGCAGGCAGGAUAAAACAACAUGGUGCUGCUGUCCACGUCACCUUUCCAUGCUUCCAUGUCUAUCCCCAGAUGAUGCUUGCUUGGUUUACUACCGCCUUCGUC
Molecule: unclassified non-coding RNA, 481 nt
Filed under: Zea mays
Lineage: Eukaryota; Viridiplantae; Streptophyta; Magnoliopsida; Poales; Poaceae
Description: misc RNA Zm00001eb266380
Source: RNAcentral